ACGGCGAGUGAAGCGGCAACAGCUCAAAUUUGAAAUCUGGCCUCGUGCCCGAGUUGUAAUUUGUAGAGGAUGCUUUUGGCGACGCGCCUUCCGAGUUCCCUGGAACGGGACGCCAUAGAGGGUGAGAGCCCCGUCCGGUCGUGCGCCUAGCCUCUGUAAAGCUCCUUCGACGAGUCGAGUAGUUUGGGAAUGCUGCUCUAAAUGGGAGGUAUACGUCUUCUAAAGCUAAAUACCGGCCAGAGACCGAUAGCGCACAAGUAGAGUGAUCGAAAGAUGAAAAGCACUUUGAAAAGAGGGUUAAAUAGUACGUGAAAUUGCUGAAAGGGAAGCGCUUAUGACCAGACUUGGGCGCGGCGGAUCAUCCGGCGUUCUCGCCGGUGCACUCCACCGCCCCAGGCCAGCAUCAGUUCGCGCCGGGGGAUAAAGGCUUCGGGAAUGUGGCUCUCUCGGGAGUGUUAUAGCCCGUUGCGUAAUACCCUGGUGCGGACUGAGGUCCGCGCUCUGCAAGGAUGCUGGCGUAAUGGUCAUCAGUGACCCGUC
This 540-nucleotide ribosomal RNA is filed under the name fungal sp. Its description in RNAcentral is "partial large subunit ribosomal RNA". It matches the Rfam family "Eukaryotic large subunit ribosomal RNA", at positions 86 to 653 of the family's 3401-position model. The record is from RNAcentral. Lineage: Eukaryota; Fungi.